ACUUUGGUUUGAAACAAGUCGGUCCAUUAGGUUUGUCGAAGGGCGAAACACUGGACGAUGUGAUCAGACGCCGACUAACAGAACGCUUACGUCAAACCACGUUAGCCGAUCACAUGAAGAAACAAGAGAGGGAGUUACUUGAUCAAUAUGCAGGCAGAUUCUUCUUUACAAGUGGUGUUGCUUUCAAUGUCGCUCAUAAUCCUGAACUAUUGGUAAUAUUUCAGAUUUUAUUUUUUUAAUAAAAUUUGGAAUUACUUAUUUAAAUUUAUUUUCAGGCAUAGGUGGAGAGUAUUGGACGGUACGGUCCAGGAUACACA
Molecule: long non-coding RNA, 317 nt
Filed under: Zostera marina
Lineage: Eukaryota; Viridiplantae; Streptophyta; Magnoliopsida; Alismatales; Zosteraceae
Description: long non-coding RNA (ZMAR_LNC000598)
Source: RNAcentral